UUCUGUCAACACCUAGUGUUUGUCCAGCUGUGAUGCAUGCGCCAUACCUGAAUCAGGAAUCCAGAAUGCUAGGAGAAUUCUAUUUCUGGAGCAACAAGUAGACAGUAGUUCAUUGUGCCCUGAUUUGAGCCAUGUCCUCUUUAUUGUCCAUGUGAAUCCUGGUACCUUUCCGGUCAGACUCAAAAUUACAUAAAUUUAAGAAAAUGGAUCUCUGGAUGGUGUCAAAGCCUUCUACCCACUUCCGGAAAAAGAACUAGUCAGCUAGUAAAAUCUGGGCCUAGUGAUAUUCCUUCUCUUCCCUCUGAUACUUGGAAAUAGUAUCAGAACUCACUAAACAGGAAGUCACCAGUGUGUUCAGGUAUGUGAGAUCGUAUCUUGCCUUGGCAGCCAGGAAGUGAAUUAGUAGCACCACAUAUUAUUUUUCUCUGCAGAAAGUGAUUUAAGCUGUUACGAAAUUUGAGAUCAUGUAAGGUUUCGAAGUGAUGGUCAUCUUACAUGGAGAUAAAUGUCCUUCCAUUUAGGACUGCUUUUGAUGGGUUGAGAAGUGUUAGGUAUCAAUUACAGUGAUAAGUAUAAUGCAUUAAUGUAUAUGGGAGCUCUCCCUCAGAUGCUCCAACUGAUGAAACGUGGAUAGUUCAGAGACUCCUCUGCUAUUUUUGGACUGUAGCAACAUCUUAAUGUCUAUUUUUUCCCCUUGAAAUCUAGGCCAUAAAGGCACAUUGGUACAGUGUGUGCAUAUGUGUGUGUGAGCACACGUGCUGCUUUUAUUCUCUACUUUGAAUUCACUUUGCAGGGUACUACGUUAGAAUUUUCCUAACAACCUAGUCCACAACUACCAAAGAAAGACAUUUUCAGCUUGAGUGAAAAGGUUCUUUUAUUUCAUCUGUUCACAACAUUCUGAAGAUUUGGAGCGUGUAUUUGUUAAAUACCUUAUUAUCUGUUAAUAUAUUCCAUCAAAUAUUGUUAACAGUUUCUAAACAAGUACCCUUUUAUAUACAACCUUAAAUCUAUGGUAUAUCCUUUUUUUGU
Molecule: long non-coding RNA, 1029 nt
Filed under: Panthera leo (lion)
Lineage: Eukaryota; Metazoa; Chordata; Mammalia; Carnivora; Felidae
Description: lncRNA (ENSPLOG00000010642.1)
Source: RNAcentral